GGAGCAGUGAAUUCCAGGUGGCCAGAGGUGAGAGAUGUUAAGCACCAACCUGAUGACUUGCAGGAGCACAAAUGACUCAGAAGCCACUGCCUCACUAAAAGACUCAUCUCAACAUAGGUGACAGUCCAAGAACUCCAGCCCUGGAACUUUCUGCACAGCUUGCAGGAUUACUGGGAGUCCCGUGUUUGCUCUGCUACAGGGCUCAGGCCGCUCAGGGAGGUGGGACACGGAAAGUUUGACUGCACUGACCCCAGCCACUGCCGUUUGCCGGGCAGGUGUUGGAAGCUUCGGAACACCGCUCCAGGGCCUGGAGCUCAUCAACUGGGCUAGACUGGCUGGCCAGUUAGCCCCGAGGGAUCCUCUGGUUUCUGCCUCCUCAGUGCGGGAAUUGCAACUCUGUGUCACCCUUCCUGGUAUUUUGAGUGAGUUCUGGAGCUCAACUCAACUCAGGUGCUUACGCUUGCAAGCACCUGCUUUCCUGACUGAACGAUAUAUCCGCCUGGGCCGCUUUGCUUCUGUAACAGCGGGGCCAAUGGCAGAGCACAGACAAAAAUGAUCUGUUUGGAAAAGGAUGUUUGGGAGUAGGCUUAGGGUUCAGGGUUUGUUUGUUUGUUUGUUUCUUUGUUUAUGUGAGUCCUUGCCUUUAUUUCCUAGAGAGAUGGAUAAUGAAUUUAUAAAUAAAAUCUGGUUCCAUAACUUA
This is a long non-coding RNA of Mus musculus (house mouse), 700 nucleotides long. RefSeq annotates it as predicted gene, 39546. The transcript is spliced from 3 exons. NCBI's taxonomy places the organism in Eukaryota, Metazoa, Chordata, Mammalia, Rodentia, Muridae. The record is from RefSeq and is a predicted model, not a curated record.